Molecule: ribosomal RNA, 444 nt
Filed under: uncultured bacterium
Lineage: Bacteria
Description: bacterial SSU rRNA
Rfam family: Bacterial small subunit ribosomal RNA
Source: RNAcentral
AUUGAACGCUGGCGGCAGGCCUAACACAUGCAAGUCGAACGGUAGCACAGGAGAGCUUGCUCUCUGGGUGACGAGUGGCGGACGGGUGAGUAAUGCAUGGGGAGCUGCCCAAUCGAGGGGGAUACCAGCUGGAAACGGCUGCUAAUACCGCAUACGCCCUGAGGGGGAAAGGUGGGGACCUUCGGGCCUACCGCGAUUGGAUGCACCCAUGUGGGAUUAGCUAGUUGGUGAGGUAACGGCUCACCAAGGCGACGAUCUCUAGCUGGUCUGAGAGGAUGACCAGCCACACUGGAACUGAGACACGGUCCAGACUCCUACGGGAGGCAGCAGUGGGGAAUAUUGCACAAUGGGGGAAACCCUGAUGCAGCCAUGCCGCGUGUGUGAAGAAGGCCUGGUUGUAAGACGACUUCUAGUAGGUAGGAAGGGUUAGGAGUGUCUAAUACG